RNAcentral lists this transfer RNA (74 nucleotides) under bacterium. RNAcentral describes it as "tRNA-Pro". It matches the Rfam family "tRNA". Rfam says of the family: Transfer RNA (tRNA) molecules are approximately 80 nucleotides in length. Their secondary structure includes four short double-helical elements and three loops (D, anti-codon, and T loops). The record is from RNAcentral.
CGGGGUGUAGUAUAAUGGUAGUACGCAUGCAUGGGGUGCAUGUAGCCGGAGUUCAAUUCUCCGCACCCCGACCA